RNAcentral lists this ribosomal RNA (495 nucleotides) under uncultured bacterium. RNAcentral describes it as "partial 16S ribosomal RNA". It matches the Rfam family "Bacterial small subunit ribosomal RNA", at positions 28 to 507 of the family's 1533-position model. The record is from RNAcentral.
GACGAACGCUGGCGGCGUGCCUAAUACAUGCAAGUCGAACGCUGAAGGAGGAGCUUGCUUCUCCGGAUGAGUUGCGAACGGGUGAGUAACGCGUAGGUAACCUGCCUGGUAGCGGGGGAUAACUAUUGGAAACGAUAGCUAAUACCGCAUAAGAGUAGAUGUCGCAUGACAUUUGCUUAAAAGGUGCAACUGCACCACUACCAGAUGGACCUGCGUUGUAUUAGCUAGUUGGUGAGGUAACGGCUCACCAAGGCAACGAUACAUCGCCGACCUGAGAGGGUGAUCGGCCACACUGGGACGGUGACACGGCCCAGACUCCUACGGGAGGCAGCAGUAGGGAAUCUUCGGCAAUGGACGGAAGUCUGACCGAGCAACGCCGCGUGAGUGACGAAGGUUUUCGGAUCGUAAAGCUCUGUUGUAAGAGAAGAACGAGUGUGAGAGUGGAAAGUUCACACUGUGACGGUAACUUACCAGAAAGGGACGGCUAACUACGUG